GCCUUCUUAGCUCAGCGGUAGAGCAGCUGUUUUGUAAACAGCAGGUCGCGGGUUCGAAUCCCACAGAAGGCU
Molecule: transfer RNA, 72 nt
Filed under: Candidatus Levyibacteriota bacterium
Lineage: Bacteria; Candidatus Levyibacteriota
Description: tRNA-Thr
Rfam family: tRNA
About the family: Transfer RNA (tRNA) molecules are approximately 80 nucleotides in length. Their secondary structure includes four short double-helical elements and three loops (D, anti-codon, and T loops).
Source: RNAcentral